AGUGUAGCCAAGCGGUAAGGCAGCGGGUUUUGAUCCCGUCAUGCGAAGGUUCGAAUCCUUCCAC
RNAcentral lists this transfer RNA (64 nucleotides) under marine eukaryotic metagenome. It matches the Rfam family "tRNA", at positions 5 to 66 of the family's 71-position model. Rfam says of the family: Transfer RNA (tRNA) molecules are approximately 80 nucleotides in length. Their secondary structure includes four short double-helical elements and three loops (D, anti-codon, and T loops). The record is from RNAcentral.